This 1455-nucleotide long non-coding RNA is filed under the name Ananas comosus (pineapple). Its description in RNAcentral is "long non-coding RNA (ACOM_LNC017059)". The record is from RNAcentral. Lineage: Eukaryota; Viridiplantae; Streptophyta; Magnoliopsida; Poales; Bromeliaceae.
AUAUAUAUAUGAGUUCGGCUACUAUACUUUUAUGAGUAUUGGCUCCGUUAUACUCAUAAGUUUUCAGUCGUUAGAUUUAUUCCAUUAAUCAUUUUCACCCGUUAGAUCAUACUAUUCAACAAAUUACCCACUCAACCCUAGAAAACCACUAUAAUUCUAAGUGGGGACCACCAUCAUCCUAACCACACAUCCCAUCAAUCAACGGUUAAAAAUUUAUGAGUAUAAAGGGGUCUAUACUCAUAAGAGUAUAGUAGCUCUAGCAUAUAUAUAUAUAUAUAUAUAUAUAUAUAGAGCAGGGCUGCUGUGCUCUCAGGAGCACGGAGGCCUCCGUGCUCCUGAGCCGUUUUCGAUGAUGGAAUUUUCGAAUCGACGAUCGGCUCCGUUAGACUUGAUCUAGCACAUUUGAAGUUUCUAGAAAAUAAUUUUUGCGAUUUUUCGAUAUCAUUUACCUAGUGAUCGAAAGGAUUCAAAAUCCAUAAUUUUUAAUGGCUGAUAUCUGCCGUUUUCAAGUUUAACGGUGUAGAAGUAUUCAAAUCAGAUGAAAUUUUGAUAGAAAAUUCUUUAUACUAUCUACAACAAGAUCUAUAUUUCUGAUCGAAAAUUUUAGUGCUAUAUCACCACUUUUUAUAGGAUUUUUAUUUUCAGCCGUUAAAAAUUAUUGAUUUUGAAUCCUUUCGAUUGCUAGGUAAAUGAUAUCGAAAAAUCGCAAAAAUUAUUUUCUAGAAACUUUAAAUACGCUAGAUCAAGUUUAACGGAGCCGAUCGUCGAUUCAAAAACUCCAUCAUCGAAAAUGACUCAGGAGCACGGAGGCCUCCGUGCUCCUGAGAGCACAGCAGCCCUGCUCUAUAUAUAUAUAUAUAUAUAUAUAUAUAUAACUAGACUGAAAUACUAUCAAUAGCAGAGCUUAGUGCUAUCAGUUUUUUAGCUUUUAGGAUUGAGAAAUGUACGAUUAGGAUGAUGUGGGCCCCCUAGUGUUGAGUAGGUGGUUGGUUGAAUAAUAUAAUAUAACGAAUAAAAAUAAUCAGACAGUUAAAUCUAACAAUAAAAAUAAUCAAAGGGUUAUAUCUAACGGUAAAAUAUGCUAUCGAUAGUAUCCCAGCCGGACUCUAUAUAUAUAUAUAUAAUUUUUAGAAACAUAACGUAAUUUUUUGUUUGAAAUAUUAUAGUAUAUAAUAAACAAUAUAAAAUCUUAAAAAUACAUACAUUAUAUCAUGUAUGAGUAUUUUAUCAUUCCAAAUUUAUAUGAUAUAAAAUUAAUAAAAAUUUUAUUAUUAUAGAGUCAAUAUUAUAAAAAUUAUAUAUUUUUAAAAAUAUAAAUGGGAGAAUUCAUGGGUAUUCGCGGGUUGUUCAAAAUACCUAUCACUUAACAAAUACUCAUCUGUUUUAUUUAUAAUUUUUCCGAUAAGAAAAGCUAAUAUUUAUAUAUGUAAAUUUGUGAGUAGUCCGUGGGUACCC